UAACUGAAGGUUUAAUGGAUAAAUAUAAUGUAGCACUAAAUGUGACUUUACAGAGUAAUUCACAUGGCAGCAUACGUGGUAAAUGGGAGUUGAAACUGGAAGUUGAGACAGCUCACUUAUUGCUUUUUCCCACAAUGUCAUUGCUGCUAACUACAGCACAAGCCACACUCCUGCAUAAGACACAGAAUGUUGAUCCUGCCCUGUGCUUUACUUUGUCCUGGCUUCUGACUAUACUGGUUUCC
Long non-coding RNA from Monopterus albus (swamp eel), 242 nucleotides. RefSeq lists it as uncharacterized. NCBI's taxonomy places the organism in Eukaryota, Metazoa, Chordata, Actinopteri, Synbranchiformes, Synbranchidae. The transcript is spliced from 3 exons. The record is from RefSeq and is a predicted model, not a curated record.